Molecule: small RNA, 100 nt
Filed under: Pan troglodytes (chimpanzee)
Lineage: Eukaryota; Metazoa; Chordata; Mammalia; Primates; Hominidae
Also listed under: 1 other name
Description: processed transcript
Source: RNAcentral
GCGAGCUAGCCGGGAGUUACACCGCCACCGCCAGGGGCAACUUCAGGAGUAAGGAGCAUGUACGGUUCCUAGUUGAGCUUCUAAUUGGCAGAGGCAGAGA